UACGUAGGGGGCAAGCGUUGUCCGGAAUCAUUGGGCGUAAAGCGCAUGUAGGCGGUUCGAUAAGUCUGCUGUGAAAGUCCAAGGCUCAACCUUGGGAUGCCGGUGGAUACUGUCGGGCUAGAGUCCGGAAGAGGCGAGUGGAAUUCCUGGUGUAGCGGUGGAAUGCGCAGAUAUCAGGAGGAACACCAAUGGCGAAGGCAGCUCGCUGGGACGGUACUGACGCUGAGGUGCGAAAGCGUGGGGAGCGAACAGG
This 253-nucleotide ribosomal RNA is filed under the name uncultured bacterium. RNAcentral's name for it is "partial 16S ribosomal RNA". It matches the Rfam family "Bacterial small subunit ribosomal RNA", at positions 524 to 776 of the family's 1533-position model. The record is from RNAcentral.